UUCAUUUCAAAUCCAUUGUGGUGGUGUAUAGAGCCAAAAAGAUUGGAAUUGUGUUGAUGUCCCAAUAUUUAUGGACCUGACUGUAUUUUUAUACAUAUGUGAAAAACAUUUC
Long non-coding RNA from Etheostoma cragini (Arkansas darter), 112 nucleotides. RefSeq lists it as uncharacterized. NCBI's taxonomy places the organism in Eukaryota, Metazoa, Chordata, Actinopteri, Perciformes, Percidae. The record is from RefSeq and is a predicted model, not a curated record. The transcript is spliced from 4 exons.